Molecule: ribosomal RNA, 327 nt
Filed under: uncultured eukaryote
Lineage: Eukaryota
Description: partial 18S ribosomal RNA
Rfam family: Eukaryotic small subunit ribosomal RNA
Source: RNAcentral
CCCUUAGAUGUUCUGGGCUGCACGCGCGCUACACUGAAGCGUUCAACGAGUAUUCACCUUGCCCGGGAGGGUUGGGUAAUCUUUUCAAAACGCUUCGUGAUGGGGAUAGAUUAUUGCAAUUAUUAAUCUUCAACGAGGAAUUCCUAGUAAGCGCAAGUCAUCAGCUUGCGUCGAUUACGUCCCUGCCCUUUGUACACACCGCCCGUCGCUCCUACCGAUUGGGUGUGCUGGUGAAAUGUUCGGAUCGGCCGUUUGUCGCGGUUUCCGCGUCAUGUGGCUGAGAAGUUCAUUAAACCCUCCCACCUAGAGGAAGGAGAAGUCGUAACA